This 453-nucleotide ribosomal RNA is filed under the name uncultured Brevundimonas sp. RNAcentral describes it as "bacterial SSU rRNA". It matches the Rfam family "Bacterial small subunit ribosomal RNA", at positions 8 to 507 of the family's 1533-position model. Lineage: Bacteria; Pseudomonadati; Pseudomonadota; Alphaproteobacteria; Caulobacterales; Caulobacteraceae. The record is from RNAcentral.
AGAGUUUGAUCCUGGCUCAGAGCGAACGCUGGCGGCAGGCCUAACACAUGCAAGUCGAACGAACUCUUCGGAGUUAGUGGCGGACGGGUGAGUAACACGUGGGAACGUGCCUUUAGGUUCGGAAUAACUCAGGGAAACUUGUGCUAAUACCGAAUGUGCCCUUCGGGGGAAAGAUUUAUCGCCUUUAGAGCGGCCCGCGUCUGAUUAGCUAGUUGGUGAGGUAAUGGCUCACCAAGGCGACGAUCAGUAGCUGGUCUGAGAGGAUGACCAGCCACAUUGGGACUGAGACACGGCCCAAACUCCUACGGGAGGCAGCAGUGGGGAAUCUUGCGCAAUGGGCGAAAGCCUGACGCAGCCAUGCCGCGUGAAUGAUGAAGGUCUUAGGAUUGUAAAAUUCUUUCACCGGGGACGAUAAUGACGGUACCCGGAGAAGAAGCCCCGGCUAACUUCGUG